UACGUAGGGGGCUAGCGUUGUCCGGAAUCAUUGGGCGUAAAGAGCGUGUAGGCGGUCCGGUAAGUCCGCUGUGAAAGUCGGGGGCUCAACCCUCGAAUGCCGGUGGAUACUGUCGGGCUAGAGUGCGGAAGAGGCGAGUGGAAUUCCUGGUGUAGCGGUGGAAUGCGCAGAUAUCAGGAGGAACACCAAUAGCGAAGGCAGCUCGCUGGGACGGUACUGACGCUGAGGCGCGAAAGCGUGGGGAGCAAACAGG
Molecule: ribosomal RNA, 253 nt
Filed under: uncultured bacterium
Lineage: Bacteria
Description: partial 16S ribosomal RNA
Rfam family: Bacterial small subunit ribosomal RNA
Source: RNAcentral